ACGUAGGGUGCGAGCGUUAAUCGGAAUUACUGGGCGUAAAGCGUGCGCAGGCGGUUCGUUGUGUCGGUGGUGAAAGCCCCGGGCUUAACCUGGGAACUGCAGUGGAAACUGGCGGACUAGAGUGUGAUAGAGGAUGGUGGAAUUCCCGGUGUAGCGGUGAAAUGCGUAGAGAUCGGGAGGAACACCAGUGGCGAAGGCGGCCAUCUGGAUCAACACUGACGCUGAGGCACGAAAGCGUGGGGAGCAAACAGGA
RNAcentral lists this ribosomal RNA (253 nucleotides) under uncultured prokaryote. Its description in RNAcentral is "partial 16S ribosomal RNA". It matches the Rfam family "Bacterial small subunit ribosomal RNA", at positions 525 to 777 of the family's 1533-position model. The record is from RNAcentral.